CUACAGAGGGUGCGAGCGUUAAUCGGAAUUACUGGGCGUAAAGCGCGCGUAGGCGGCUUGGUCAGUCGGAUGUGAAAGCCCCGGGCUCAACCUGGGAAUGGCAUUCGAUACUGCCAGGCUAGAGUAUGGGAGAGGGAAGUGGAAUUUCCGGUGUAGCGGUGAAAUGCGUAGAUAUCGGAAGGAACACCAGUGGCGAAGGCGACUUCCUGGCCCAAUACUGACGCUGAGGUGCGAAAGCGUGGGGAGCGAACAGGAUUAGAAACCCCAGUAGUCC
This 274-nucleotide ribosomal RNA is filed under the name uncultured bacterium. RNAcentral describes it as "partial 16S ribosomal RNA". It matches the Rfam family "Bacterial small subunit ribosomal RNA", at positions 523 to 796 of the family's 1533-position model. The record is from RNAcentral.